AUUGAACGCUGGCGGCAUGCUUUACACAUGCAAGUCGAACGGCAGCGCGGGCUUCGGCCUGGCGGCGAGUGGCGAACGGGUGAGUAAUGCAUCGGAACGUGCCCAGUCGUGGGGGUUAGCCCGGCGAAAGCCGGAUUAAUACCGCAUACGACCUGCGGGUGAAAUCGGGGGACCGAAAGGCCUCGCGCUAUUGGAUCGGCCGAUGUCGGAUUAGCUUGUUGGUGGGGUAAAGGCUUACCAAGGCGACGAUCCGUAGCUGGUCUGAGAGGACGACCAGCCACACGGGGAGGGAGACACGGCCCAGACUCCUAAGGGAGGCAGCAGUGGGGAAUUUUGGACAAUGGGGGCAACCCUGACCCAGCCAUGCCGCGUGCGGGAAGAAGGCAUUCGGGUUGUAAACCGCUUUUGUUCGGGAAGAAAUCCUCUGGGCUAAUACCCCGGGGGGAUGACGGUACCGGAAGAAUAAGCACCGGCUAACUACGUG
RNAcentral lists this ribosomal RNA (484 nucleotides) under uncultured bacterium. Its description in RNAcentral is "partial 16S ribosomal RNA". It matches the Rfam family "Bacterial small subunit ribosomal RNA", at positions 28 to 507 of the family's 1533-position model. The record is from RNAcentral.